This is a long non-coding RNA of Gasterosteus aculeatus aculeatus (three-spined stickleback), 1460 nucleotides long. NCBI's taxonomy places the organism in Eukaryota, Metazoa, Chordata, Actinopteri, Perciformes, Gasterosteidae. The record is from Ensembl.
ACAUUUCUUCUGUGAUGAGUUUAAAAACCUGACUGAGCAGAUGGGGUGAAAAUAAUGCUAGCUUAGCAUAGGCGCUACUUCAGCAUUCCUACCCUUGGUAAUAAGCUUAUCUGCUUAGCUUCCAUGUACAGCAUGGAGCAUCAUUGUCCUCAUCAUCCUCUGUAAUUGAAUUGUCUGAUUGCAGCUUUUCGUCCGUGCAGCAGCUAAUCUGUCGUUGCAGAUCAGUGCAUCCUGUAAAAGUUGUAGUAGAAGGAGGAGCAAGAAGGGCGGUUGUGUCACACCCAUCUUAAAGAAGGAAAGUACGCGUGAACGGCCUCAGCAGUGUUAAAUCAGGACUACGUGAAUGCUGUGAAUGCCACAUUCUGCAGCAUCGACGGACCGUAUCAUGAUUAAUUGAUGCAUCGCUACCUGCCAUCUCUCGCCGAGUCCCCGCGGACGCGCUCGCUGCCCUCCCAGAAGUCUUUGCUCUCGAGCGAGCUGCGGCUUCCCUGAGUGGAAACCUCCGAGGCUGCGGCUCACCGUGCUCCAAAGUACAAGCACCUGGAAAAAUAAGCGUGCAUUUAAAUAGAGACGUCUCUCCCUUUCAGCUGGAUCCAAACAAAUUAAAGAUGUCUUUCUGACGGGAUGGUUCCACAAAGAGGGGUCGUAAAAAAAGGGGGUGGGGGGUGAGAGUGGCAUGACCUCAACAUUUGAAGACAGUUCUUAGAAGUGAUUUUAUUAGAGAAUGAUGGGAUCAUUGAUUAGUUUGGGCCCGGCGGGAGUGGCUGCAGCAAUCGGCAGGCUGGAAGCUGCUGGGCGGGUUCCUUCUCAGCGGUUAGGAGCCAAAGGAGCCAAUUGAGCCAAAGGGGCCAAAGGAGCCAACGGAGCCAACGGAGCCAAAGGAGCCAACGGAGCCAACGGAGCCAAAGGGGCCAAAGGAGCCAACGGAGCCAACGGAGCCAAAGAAGCCAACGAAGCCAAAGGAGCUAAAGGAGCCAACGGAGCCAAAGGGGCCAAAGGAGCCGACGGAGCCAACGGAGCCAAAGGGGCCAAAGGAGCCAAAGGAGCCAAAGGAGCCAAAGGAGCCAACGGAGCCAAAGGGGCCAACGGAGCCAAAGAAGCCAACGGAGCCAAAGGGGCCAACGGAGCCAAAGAAGCCAACGAAGCCAAAGGGGCCAAAGGAGCAGAGGUGCUGUUGGUGAAAGUGGGAGAACGUGUGAAACGCUUUGUGAACCUCAACAGGAAGUGAGGGUCAUCGGUAUCUCCAUGGCAACAGGAAUAUGGCUGCCUGGAGCCAGAAGGAGGCAUUUCAUCAGUGAAGGCUUAUUCGUUCAUACGGUCUUCAUCCAUCCAAACUGCCAGAAGAUCUUCCCAAACCAGUUAAAAUCCCUCCUGACAGAAAACCGCGGCGUUGAAUCGGUGUGAGGCGUAAAAGGCUCCAGCAGAGGGCACCCCGCCUCCACCUCCACCUCCACCUUCCU